GAGAUGGAGUCCCAUUCUGUUACGCAGGCUGGAGUACAAUGGCGCCAUCUCGGCUCACUGCCACCUCUGCCUCCUGGGUUCAAGUAAUUCUCCUGCCUCAGCUUCCUGAGUAGCUGGGAUGGGAGGUGGGAUGGGCGCGCACCACCACGCCCGGUUAAUUUUUGUGUUUUUAGCAGAGAGGGGGUUUCGUCACGUUGGCCAGGCUGGUCGUGGACUCCUGACCUGAGGUGAUCCACCUGCCUCGGCCUCCCAAAGUGCUGGGAUUAGAGGCAUGAGCCACCGCAUCCGGCUGGUUCUCAGGCUUUAAAUGUAUGCAUAUCCCCUGGGAAGUUUCUAACAAUUCUGAUGCCCGGGUUGCCCACCCCCAAGACCAGUCACAGAAGAAUCUAUGGGAGUGGAACCCCGACUCUGGUAUUUGAGGCCAGGGACCAAGGACAGCAGACCCGGCCACAGCAGACGCUGUUGGAUUGGAUGAGGCUCCUGCUUUACAUUUGUAAUCAGCAUGCCUAUACGCCAGGUCCAAGCGUGGCGUUUUUUAAAAUGUCCCCAUUCCUUUCAGUGGCUGUGACGUGAACAGUCCCAGACAACCAGGCGCCAAUGGAGAAGGAGAGGAAGAGGCUAGAGAUGGGCAGACCCCUUUGCAUUUGGCAGCCUCUUGGGGGCUGGAAGAGACAGUACAGUGUCUUCUGGAGUUUGGUGCCAACGUGAACGCACAGGUGUGUCGUUUCUCUUUUCCGGGGAGAGAGGUGUAGCCCCAGCAUGAGGGAAGCCUCCUCCUAUGGCAGAGGACCUUGCACAGUCCCCAGUUCCAGGCGCUGCUGCUUCAUGAACACACGACCUCCCUAGCAGCGUUCAUGAUUUCAGGCUGACUGUGCUUCUCUGUGCCUUUGUCCUUACUACAACAGGAGGAAGAUUUGUUUCAGCUCUUUCUCUUUGCCUCCUAUUCCCCCUUAGUUACAGAUUUCCUCUGAGAGUUUAGUCCCAAAUCGCAUACUGUAUUUAGGAAAAUGUCCCAGUAGCUCACUUGAGCACCCCUGAGUUACGCCCUUUGAUGCUUUUCAACAUUCGAGCCUGUGCAGAUUUAUAUAUAAGGCCCUAUAGCCAGAUAAGGAGUGGUGGCUUAGAGCGGAGACUCACUGCAGAUGUGAAACACAUGUUUGUGCUGGUCCUACGGUCACCACUGGGUCACUGGAACGUGGUGUAACAGGAAGUGACAUUUAGUCAUUUCUCUUUGGCCUCUUCAAAAGCUGAGUCAAACACAGGGUGGUAGUAUUGAUCGAUUCUCAUAACUGAAAUUUGAUUUAAAAGUUAUACCCUUUCAUAUUUUUCCUGAGUUUUAUCUUGCAAUUGAACAUUAAAUUCUGUGCCUUGUUCCAUAGGAUGCAGAAGGAAGAACCCCCAUCCACGUGGCCAUCAGCAGCCAACACGGUGUCAUCAUUCAGCUGUUGGUUUCUCACCCCGAUAUCCAUUUGAAUGUACGAGACAGACAAGGGCUGACCCCGUUUGCCUGUGCCAUGACUUUCAAGAACAACAAGUCAGCCGAGGCCAUUCUCAAACGAGAGUCCGGGGCUGCUGAGCAGGUGAGUGAAUAACACCUGACCUUCUCCACAUGGUCCUGGGCGUCGCGGAACCUGGAGACUAGACAGAUGUCACCGACUAAACAGGUCUCCUCAUGGAAAGAGCUUUGUUUUGAAGUUGUACUCCUGUCCUAAGAUGUGGCUGUUGAGAUGUCCCAUCCGUGCAGGAUGAGAUCCGGCUCCUCUGCCUGUGUGUCAGCGCCUGACAGUGCCCGGCUUCGAUGGAAGCGGAGGCAGUGGGCUCCAUCGUAGGAAUUCUGUGGCAUGUACAGUUGAGCUCAUUCUUUGCUUUUGCUAGGUUGGUUAACUGUCCUAGUGAGGAGUGUCUUUGAAAGAGCUUGUGUUGUGAUGUUGGGGCAACUUCCUGAGUGUUUCCGAGGAGUUCAGUUGCUCAGUAGCCUCGGCUGUCCUUGUUCUUUGUGGUUCUUUACCAGCUGCUACAUCGGGAUGGUGAACUGUUGAUCUGCAACAAGCAGUUGGCUGGGAAAUGACAAUCACAACUGAUCUGAGUAGGAGGGGGUGGGUUUAUCAGGUCAGUCCUGCAGGAACUUGGCUCUCCAGCCAGCACCUAGAGUACUGGCGCAUUUAUCAGUGGCAUUCAUGAAGGUGAGAUGGAACUUGGGACCCGCGUGAAGUGAGAUCCUCGCAUGGGUGGAGAUGAUUGCUUGGUGUCUUAGGCUUCCGUAACCACCGUCUUCAGCAUUUUCACAAGUGUGACUGGAUUGCGUAGGUGGUGACCUCACGUUUGCUCAGGUGGUGUGAAAUGGCCUCUCCCGUUUCUUCUCUCCAGUGUGAAACUGGACUGCUGAUGAAAGCGCUUUGUGGAUCCGCUGCUUAUGAGACUGGCACGUGCCGUGUGUGACGUGUGGGCCUGUGAAGCGGCGUGCCGUGUGUGUGGCACUGGGGUCGCCCUCGCUGCCGCCUCCACACUCAUGCUAAGACGGCUCUGGGAACUACAGGAGACGGUGUGCUUUGAUU
Molecule: long non-coding RNA, 2555 nt
Filed under: Homo sapiens (human)
Lineage: Eukaryota; Metazoa; Chordata; Mammalia; Primates; Hominidae
Description: non-protein coding lnc-ZZEF1-1:4
Source: RNAcentral